This 537-nucleotide ribosomal RNA is filed under the name Triticum aestivum (bread wheat). RNAcentral describes it as "partial small subunit ribosomal RNA". Lineage: Eukaryota; Viridiplantae; Streptophyta; Magnoliopsida; Poales; Poaceae. The record is from RNAcentral.
AUGGGAUUUGGCUUAUCUCUUGCAGAGUUCUCCUACAAUAAUUCCAAGCAUAGAUCCACAGGAAGGAGCCCUUUUUCCAUUGUCUACACUAAAGUUCCAACACAUGUGGUGGACCUGGUGAAGCUGCCAUCAAGGGGAAACUCAAAAUCAGCAUUGUCCUUUGCUGAUAAUUACACCGAGUUAUUUGAAGAGAUUCGCGGCGCUUUGGAAGCACGAAAUCAGAACUAUAAACAACUUGCUGAUUGCAAAAAGAGGCCAAAAUCAUUCCAAGUCGGUGAUAAGGUGAUGGUCUACCUCCAAAAAGAGAGGCUGCCUUUAGGUGUUAAAGGGAAACUUAGGCAGCGAAGGUAUGGGCCCUUCUCUAUCAUGAGGAAGAUAAAUGAUAAUGCUUAUGUGAUAGAUCUUCCAAGUGACAUGGGUAUCUCCAACACUUUCAAUGUUGCGGACUUGACUCUCUACCAUCCAGAAGAAGCGCUCUAUGAAGAUAACUCGAGGGCGAGUUCCAAACAACCAGGGAAGAAUGAUGAGGAACACUAG